Molecule: long non-coding RNA, 5470 nt
Organism: Protopterus annectens (West African lungfish)
Lineage: Eukaryota; Metazoa; Chordata; Ceratodontiformes; Protopteridae
Exons: 3
Source: RefSeq, a predicted model, not a curated record
UAACAAUCAUUAACGGACCGGAGUUCUGCUGUGGCAACCCCUAACCGGGAAAAGCCAAAAGAAAAACAACAACAUGGUUCUAAAUCUAAUUCAGAUUUUUUGUAUGUUCAAAAGGAAUUCAAACUAUGAAUUUAGCAAUCAUGAACUGCUCAUACUGUGAACACCCUGUGCUUAAAUUUGCCUGCCCAAUCUGCUUAAAGAUGCCAUUAGGUGCAGGAGAACAUCUAGACAAAAACUAAGGAAAUCAGAGUUCCUGUUUUGUUGUAUUUUGUUGGUUUCUAUCCGACUCCUCAGAAUGCUGUACUGCUUUAACAAGAGAAUGUGUGGCACCAUUUCCCAAGCCUGGGUGUGACAUCUCUGUAUGGAAGUUAUAACGUGCUUCAUAAUGCUGUGAAACAAAUAUUUUUUUAGUGUUCAUAUUGCCUGAGAAGAAACUGGAAGAUUUUAAAGUGUUGUCACCAUUUUUCCAUUUUAUGUUACAGAACUGCUCAAUUACUUUGCUCAUUAUUAUAAUUUGGGGAAAAGGUAGUUGCUCCCUAGUAGAUUUGUUGUUGUGCCUGUUUGAACCUGUAUCUUCCCUCCUUCUUCAUAGACAGUUUUAAAGUAAAUUGUUAUAUUCAAAACCUUGUAGAGCACUGGAAUAAGCACAUUAAAUGCUAACUUGGGAGAUGUGCAGUUUAUCUGGGUGCUUUAAUGGAAUACCUACUAAAAGAUCGGGGGCAUGUAGAUACAAUAUGUAUGUGCCUUUGGGAGAGUGUUUCAGUUCCGUGAGGAAGACAACUUUGGAGAAGGAGUGUGUUUUGCCGCAAAAUCUUGAUAAUCAUUCUUCAUAUUCUUCAGUAGCAUAUCUGGGGCUUUUGUCUGUGUAUUUACAAGAUUAAUUAUAUUUGAGGAUGCACCGCUGGAUGGGCUCUCCCUUUGCUUGUUAUCCUUCAUAAAGCAUUAUUGGCUUUUUCAUUGCAGUCAUAGUGAAUAUUUGCAAUGUUCAACUAUUUGCGCUCGCAGUGUAGGGAAUGUGGUUUUAGCUUGUCUAACUUUCAGAAUGUUUGACAGAGGGUGUGUUAAUUAUAUAUAUUAUCCAGCUUCCCUCAGUGUGAUUAGGCCUAGUUCAACAGGCCUGUCUUUGUGCUCCUCCUACCAAAACCUCCCACCGUUGCUGUCCCUUUCUUUUGUACCAUCUCAACUAGCUGUAGCAGGUUUUACUGAAAAAGGCAGUCGAACUAUGCACAGAAUUCCAGCUGCAUCCUGACCAGUGACAGGAUAAAUUCCUGUUUGAAUAAAAGUUGGCCAUGAUCUUGUUUAUGCUUUUGUAGAGCAGUAUAUUCUGGUACCAUCAUUAGAAAGCAUGCUUGUUACAUACAUAGCCGUUUUCUGUAGGUGUACUGGGUAAAAUCAUUCGUUUUAUUCCAAAGAUCCUUGAUAGCACACAUAACUUCACUUGCAUAGACUAAACUAACUGAAGCCAAAACAAAUCUACUUAAACUAAAUGUUAAAUGUUCAUUUAUCAGCUCAUAGUUCCAAAAUCAGUUUUAUUACUCCAAAUAUAAAACAGUUGGCAUACAUAGAACCUUUGAGUUAGGUUUUACAAUAACAUAAAACAUACUAUUCAUUCUGUAAAGAAACAAAAAAGGAAGGAUUGCAAACCUUGUACUGCAUUAUGCUUAUUAGAUUUUUCUGACAAUACAAUAUCUGGUAAUGCUUCCUUGGCAACAGAUAUUGAUGUUAAUUUUAUUGUAGUCAACUCAGGUUCAAUGAGGGUCAAUAAAGAGGCAUUUCCUUCCAACCUUUUAGUAGAAGGUGCAGAGGAGGCAGACAGUAUUGAACAGGCAUGGCCAUGCAAGUAGUUUUCCAGAAACAUUUGUACGUCAAAGUUUGAAAUGUACUUUGAAUGUCCAUGAAAUAAUAUAUAUUUCUAAUUACUUUUUAGCAGAGAUUGACAAACAAUUGCUCAAUAUAGGUUUGGAUUUUGUAUCUUCUGUUUGUACAUCCGAAUUUCAAACUGCAGCAGACGUUAAAGCCUUUGUCAGAAACUUAAUUUAAAACAUUUGGUUUAGAGAUAUAGAUUUUACAGUAACUAUUGAAACAAAUUUCUCCAAUUUAUAUUUGAAAUAUCUACUUUCCAGCUCUCAUAUCAUAUCUCUGCUGUUGCUUUUGGAAAAGUUGUAUUAAAAGACUUACAUGUUAAUGUUAUGUCCAUCAUUAGAAAUCAUUAGAAAUACUAAAUAAUGUCUUACUAAAGCAGAAAAGAAGGCUUUAGAUAAUUUAAAGUAUGAUACAUGAUUAGUUAUAACUAAUGCUGACAAAGACAGUGCUGCUGUUGUUUGGGAUAUAGCAAAUUAUAAAACAGAUGCUUUUUUAUUAUUGGAUGAUAAAAAUAUUCCAAAUUUCUUUAGAUACCAUCUGUUUCUUUCAAACAAGAAACUGAUAUUUUUUAAUCAUUCAUCUGAUGAAGGGGUCACUGAUCUCAUUUUUGAGCUGGUGUUUAUGGAUCAUAGUGCACAAUACUUCUACAUUCUAGCAAAAAUACCAUCAUAUAAGUAUUCCCAGAGUUUAAGGAAAAGAUUCCUUAAGGAACCUUCCUUCUGACUUCUUAGAGAUGGUCAUAUCUUAUUUACCUACAUCAGUAAGGUAUCGAAAGACUCUAUGCAUGUCUUGCAAUUUCUGAAUGGUUUGCAAAUGGAAAAUUAAAUAUAUAUGUGUACUUUGGACAUGAAGUCUUAUGUACCGGCUUCCUUCUCUAUGCAACUUUAAAAAACAUUGGGAUUUUGCUUUGAAAGGUCUGAUUUACAGCAUCACACAUUUAACAGGUGUCUUACUGAAUUAACUAGAUGGGUACUUACGAAAAAUAUUUUUAUUUUCAUAAUACUUACCAUCUCUAACUGCAGGGGACAUCAAUGGGUACAAUUUUCACAACUAUUUAUGUAGAUCUCUUUAUGGGGCUUUAGAGGAACAUUUGAUUUAUGACAACAAUCACAACAUCUAUAUCCAUAUCACACACAUGAGGUGCUGGUUUUUAGAUGAUUUCUGGCUGGCAUGGAAAACUGACAAGACAGAAUUACAAUAAUUUGAGAACUAUCUAAUCAAAAAUAAACAGGUUAUUGAGCUGACCAUCGACUGCCAUCUAUUUACUAUACACAUUUUAGAUGUUUCAUUUAUGAAGAUUUCAGAUGGAAUGGUGUUUGCUUUGCUCUUUGGAAAAAAAUAGUACAAAAAUUACUUCAGGCAGGGAAUUGUCAUCCUCACCACACAAUAAUGAAUAUUCUAAAAAUCUCAUUUUUUAAGAGGAAAAGAAUUUGUUCACCAAAAGAGGAUUAUAUGAGAUUGUUCUGAGAUGCUAACUCACCAAUUUUCGCAUAGAGGGUACCCUAAAGAAUGGAUUAGUUAUGCAGAGAGCUCAGCUUGAGAGAUAUUCUAGGGAAACUUACUAGUAUAUAAAUCAGACACUAACUGUAAUUUUGGGCUAGGAUUUGUCAUCAUGUUUGGAACUAAUACUUAUAAAAUUGAGAAAUUAUCUUGAAAUAUUAGCUCUUACUGCAAGCAGAUAGGCAUACCAUUACCUUUUUUAUAGAAUGUAAUUUUAUUUAUAAAAGGGCAAGAGAUAUGGGUUAUCAUUUGAGCCAUUAUAAGAGGUAUGAGUCUACCAGAACAAGACAAAGUAUACCUACAGGUUUCAAACCAGUAGAAAGCAGCAUUUGUGUGAAUUAUACUAAUUGUUAAGUACAUUCUAAUGUGUCACAAGUUUUCAUUGAUCAGUACCUGUAAGGUUUUCAAAUUAGAUAAUGCUUUACUUGUGUAAGUAUAUUGACAAAAUAUUUAGCCACUUGUUUAUGUGGAACCUUCUAUGCAGGCAAAGCCUCCAGGAUAUUAAAAUUAAGAGUAGCUGAGUGUUUAAGUGAUAUACUUUGGAAAAGGACAAGUAGCAUCCUUUAUGGACAUUCUUAGACAAAUGCUUGGACAAAGUUCAUGUUUACUGCUAUAGACAGGCUUAUUACUUAUAGUCCUAAUAAAUUAAAAUGGCAUAAUACUCUGGAAUGGAAAGGGGAAAAACCCUUGGAUAGGGACUUGGGGUGCAUCGUUUAUAGCAGGGUCGAAAGAACAUGUUUAUAAGAGCAUCUAUCUAGGUAUUAUAUUCACACAUUGACUUACAUCCUUACCUCUUCAAAGCUCUCCACUCUGUUACUGCUGUACUAUUUUAUCUUCGCCUUAUUACCUGUGACUCCUCCAUUUCUACCUUGCACUACUGUGCUACUUACUCAUACAGAAUCACUUUGUAAAUACUCCCAAAUGACUGUUAUUCCUUUAUAAUGGGAAACUAAAUUAGUUGACUUUAACUGUAUAAAUCUGUACAUAUUGUGUUCGCACACCAUUGCUAUUGUAUAUUAUGUAUAUUAUGGUCUGCCUUCAUUAUUACUCACAGCUACUAACUGUUUUAUAUGCUUUUUAGUGAUAUACUAACUAAAACUGUGGAGAUUUUCUCCCUGUGCCUCCACUGAAAAUGGGUUCUUUGGGCCCAGUGGACUUUACCAGUAAACAAAUGCCAAUAAAUAAAUAAAUAGAUAAAACUAUUUUAAUCUUGACUAUUAUGAAAUAAAUUGUUUUAAUGUUCAUCUGUUGCAUGUUAGCCAGACUUUUUAAAUACAUAAAAUUAUUCAGUUUUAAUAAUUAGGUAUGUUGUUAUUUGAUAGUUACAUUGUUGUUUGUCACUAGUUGUUGCUGUUGUUAAAGGUACCCUAGCCUACCAGUAUUAACAUAUUUUUCUUUUAUCUUAGACAAAAUUAUCAUGUGAUAAAUUAUAACAUUAUUUAAAUGCAAGAGUCGCAUUAUCUUUGUAGAAGCAUUGAUGAAGGUGUAUUCACGUCAAAACUGGUUUAUAUUUUAAUGGUUCUACUAUGAAACACUAAAUUGCACAACCUCAGCCUUCCUAAAUGCUAAGAAAAUAAUGCCCAAAACUCAGAAAGAUAAAAAACAACUUUGCAUUUUUGUGGAAUGAGGGGCAGUUCAUACUUACAAGGGCUAAACACAUGAUGGUAAUGUAGGGCUAGGCUUCUAAAGAUCCUCGUAGAUCACCAGUGCCUACUAAGUACUUAUGAACCUAUGAAACCCCAAUGUGGGGGCAUGGACCCAUCCCCCCAAACCUGUAUAUGCCAACUCCAUGGUUGCACCAACUCAAAGAAGGAAAGUAUUGCCAGUGGACACUUAGAACUCACACAAGAAAUGAUUUCCUCUGGAAAACAGAUUAAUGUUUCUUUCCGCUGUUUUUCUUUUUCUUGAACAAGUGAUGCUUGAGGAAUUUCCGCUUGACCCUCUUUAGAGAAGAUGAUUUUAACUACUGUAUCUCUUACUGCAUGGUGCACUUUGUACCAGAAAAAAAUUGUUACUGCAACAUUUAUUGAUCUGUAGCAUCAGUACUUUUACACUGGGCUGUAGGAGCAGUUUUUAUGUUUGGAUUAAUAAAAAUGAUUUUUACAAA